GAGUUUGAUCGUGGCUCAGAGCGAACGCUGGCGGCAGGCUUAACACAUGCAAGUCGAGCGGGCGUAGCAAUACGUCAGCGGCAGACGGGUGAGUAACACGUGGGAACGUACCUUUUGGUUCGGAACAACUGAGGGAAACUUCAGCUAAUACCGGAUAAGCCCUAACGGGGAAAGAUUUAUCGCCGAAAGAUCGGCCCGCGUCUGAUUAGCUAGUUGGUGAGGUAAUGGCUCACCAAGGCGACGAUCAGUAGCUGGUCUGAGAGGAUGAUCAGCCACACUGGGACUGAGACACGGCCCAGACUCCUACGGGAGGCAGCAGUGGGGAAUAUUGGACAAUGGGGGCAACCCUGAUCCAGCCAUGCCGCGUGAGUGAUGAAGGCCCUAGGGUUGUAAAGCUCUUUGUGCGGGAAGAUAAUGACGGUACCGCAAGAAUAAGCCCCGACUAACUUCGUGCCAGCCGCCGCCGUAAU
This 470-nucleotide ribosomal RNA is filed under the name uncultured microorganism. RNAcentral's name for it is "bacterial SSU rRNA". It matches the Rfam family "Bacterial small subunit ribosomal RNA", at positions 9 to 524 of the family's 1533-position model. The record is from RNAcentral.